GAGCUAAGCAGUCUACGAGGCGACGUACGAGGUAGCCGCGCCUGAGAGGGCGAACGGCCACACUGGGACUGAGACACGGCCCAGACUCCUACGGGAGGCAGCAGUGGGGAAUAUUGCGCAAUGGGCGAAAGCCUGACGCAGCGACGCCGCGUGAGGGACGAAUGCCUUCGGGUUGUAAACCUCUUUCAGCAGGGAUGAAGCGAAAGUGACAGUACCUGCAGAAGAAGCACCGGCUAACUACGUGCCAGCAGCCGCGGUAAUACGUAGGGUGCAAGCGUUGUCCGGAAUUAUUGGGCGUAAAGAGCUCGUAGGCGGCUUGUCACGUCGGAUGUGAAAAUCCAGGGCUCAACCCUGGACCUGCAUUCGAUACGGGCAGGCUAGAAUUCGGUAGGGGAGUCUGGAAUUCCUGGUGUAGCGGUGAAAUGCGCAGAUAUCAGGAGGAACACCGGUGGCGAAGGCGGGACUCUGGGCCGAUAUUGACGCUGAGGAGCGAAAGCGUGGGGAGCGAACAGGAUUAGAUACCCUGGUAGUCCACGCCGUAAACGUUGGGCGCUAGGUGUGGGGAACCUUCCACGUUCUCCGUGCCGCAGCUAACGCAUUAAGCGCCCCGCCUGGGGAGUACGGCCGCAAGGCUAAAACUCAAAGGAAUUGACGGGGGCCUGCACAAGCGGCGGAGCAUGCGGCUUAAUUCGACGCAACGCGAAGAAACCUUACCAAGGCUUGACAUAUAGGGAAAUCUCACAGAGAUGUGAGGUCCGCAAGGGCUCUAUACAGGUGGUGCAUGGGUUGUCGUCAGCUCGUGUCGUGAGAUGUUGGGUUAAGUCCCGCAACGAGCGC
Molecule: ribosomal RNA, 837 nt
Filed under: uncultured bacterium
Lineage: Bacteria
Description: bacterial SSU rRNA
Rfam family: Bacterial small subunit ribosomal RNA
Source: RNAcentral